GACGAACGCUGGCGGCGUGCCUAAUACAUGCAAGUCGAGCGAAGUUUUUCUGGUGCUUGCACUAGAAAAACUUAGCGGCGAACGGGUGAGUAACACGUAAAGAACCUGCCUCAUAGACUGGGACAACUAUUGGAAACGAUAGCUAAUACCGGAUAACAGUAUUUCUCGCAUGAGAGAUAUUUAAAAGUUGGUUAUGCUAACACUAUGAGAUGGCCUUGCGGUGCAUUAGCUAGUUGGUGGGGUAAAGGCCCACCAAGGCGACGAUGCAUAGCCGACCUGAGAGGGUGAUCGGCCACACUGGGACUGAGACACGGCCCAGACUCCUGCGGGAGGCAGCAGUAGGGAAUCUUCCGCAAUGGGCGAAAGCCUGACGGAGCAACGCCGCGUGAGUGAAGAAGGAUUUCGGUUCGUAAAGCUCUGUUGUUAGGGAAGAAUGGAUAUGUAGUAACUAUACAUGUAAGAGACGGUACCUAACCAGAAAGCCACGGCUAACUACGUG
RNAcentral lists this ribosomal RNA (499 nucleotides) under uncultured bacterium. Its description in RNAcentral is "partial 16S ribosomal RNA". It matches the Rfam family "Bacterial small subunit ribosomal RNA", at positions 28 to 507 of the family's 1533-position model. The record is from RNAcentral.